ACCUACCACAAUGCCACCACCUCCCGCCCACCUCUGAGCUGUCCGAGUUACUGUAUCGUCGUUGAAUUUUCCUCAGUUAUCCAAAGAAAAUUGAUAGUUUCUAAAGUAUCAUCCGUUGUUCUUAUUUGCAUAAUGUUUGGUGGAGAAAAUAAAAAUCGUUUGUGACGCUGCGCCCUGGAUGUGAGUGAUCAUUCUGCUGGUAAUAUUUCCUCUAUCUCCUGCCUGAGGAAACCUGCCACAUCCUCCUCAGGUGUUGUCUGACGGCCUCCUCUGGUGUCGUCCUCUGGUGUCGUUCUCUGGUGUCGUCCUCUCACUCCAGAGAUGUCAUUGUGGUGACCUUCCCAAUGUUUUUGUCCCACGUGACUUUUUUCUGGUAAUAGACGUUAAACUAAGAGUGUUUGUGUGUCUCGGCCACCUGCCCGUGGGAGAGGAGGUAUGUUAGCGCAUCACUGAUAUUGGUUCCCAGGGGCCGAAUACUGUAUCUCCCAGUUCACUGUGUAAGCCGACUAUCUGUAGUGAUACUCAAAACAUCCGCUAUCUUGUGACGUAAUAUUGUAUCAAAUGCCAUAACUUUACAGGACCUUCUGAGUUCCUGUAUAUUUCCAGAUUACAUAAACAGUAUAUACCU
Long non-coding RNA from Homarus americanus (American lobster), 628 nucleotides. RefSeq lists it as uncharacterized. NCBI's taxonomy places the organism in Eukaryota, Metazoa, Arthropoda, Malacostraca, Decapoda, Nephropidae. The transcript has 2 exons. The record is from RefSeq and is a predicted model, not a curated record.